RNAcentral lists this ribosomal RNA (537 nucleotides) under uncultured bacterium. RNAcentral's name for it is "bacterial SSU rRNA". It matches the Rfam family "Bacterial small subunit ribosomal RNA", at positions 92 to 630 of the family's 1533-position model. The record is from RNAcentral.
CGCACGGCGCACGGGUGCGUAACACGUGGGUAACCUGCCCUCCAAAGGGGGAUAACCCGCCGAAAGGCGGGCUAAUACCGCAUGACAUUCCGGUGGCUUCGGCCGCCGGAAUCAAAGCCCGCAAGGGCGUUGGAGGAGGGGCCCGCGGCCGAUUAGCUUGUUGGCGAGGUAAUGGCUCACCAAGGCUUUGAUCGGUAGCCGGUCUGAGAGGAUGGCCGGCCACACUGGAACUGAGACACGGUCCAGACUCCUACGGGAGGCAGCAGUGGGGAAUCUUGCGCAAUGGGCGAAAGCCUGACGCAGCGACGCCGCGUGGGGGAUGAAGCUUCUCGGAGUGUAAACCCCUUUCGACCCGGACGAAACGCCCGCAAGGGUUUGACGGUACGGGUAUAAGAAGCCCCGGCUAACUACGUGCCAGCAGCCGCGGUAAGACGUAGGGGGCCAGCGUUGCUCGGAAUUACUGGGCGUAAAGGGUUCGUAGGCGGUGUGGUAAGUCGGAAGUGAAAUCUCUGGGCUUAACUCAGAGGCUGCUUUCGA